This 250-nucleotide long non-coding RNA is filed under the name Nicotiana benthamiana. Its description in RNAcentral is "long non-coding RNA (NBEN_LNC034185)". The record is from RNAcentral. Lineage: Eukaryota; Viridiplantae; Streptophyta; Magnoliopsida; Solanales; Solanaceae.
GUUCUACCUUUAGGAAAUAUAAUUUAGCUUUAAAGUUGUCACUAUUAAGAUGAGAUUUAAUUUGAAGUCUUCGGGGCUCUACUAGAUAAUGUGAUUUAGCUAUUAAAAUUCUUAGAGGUCUGUAGGUAACAUGAUCCGAUUAACACUCACAAAUAUGCCCAGAUUUCAAACUGGGGCAGAAAAAUUUCUUUUGUUUUGUCUAUUUUGUUGUAAUAGUAGGCGCCCACCUGGAGAACAAGGGAAUACAUUU